GCCCGGUUAGCUCAAUCGGUAGAGGCAAGUUCAUCCACUUCCGACUCCAUUCACACCGACAUCGUGUACUAACCUCUUCUCCAGCGUGAGACUCUUAAUAGAGAUUCAUCUCAAGGUUGCGGGUUCGACCCCCGCAUCGGGCU
Hypoxylon sp. EC38 is the source of this 143-nucleotide non-coding RNA. Lineage: Eukaryota; Fungi; Ascomycota; Sordariomycetes; Xylariales; Hypoxylaceae. The record is from the annotation of a GenBank genome assembly.